RNAcentral lists this ribosomal RNA (207 nucleotides) under uncultured bacterium. RNAcentral's name for it is "partial 16S ribosomal RNA". It matches the Rfam family "Bacterial small subunit ribosomal RNA", at positions 568 to 774 of the family's 1533-position model. The record is from RNAcentral.
CACGUAGGCGGCUCGGUAAGUCUGAUGUGAAAGCCCUGGACUCAAUCCAGGAAGUGCAUUGGAUACUGCCGGGCUAGAAUGCAGGAGGGGUAAGCGGAAUUCCAGGUGUAGAGGUGAAAUUCGUAGAUAUCUGGAGGAACAACGGCGGCGAAGGCGGCUUACUGGACUGAUAUUGACGCUGAGGUGCGAAAGUGUGGGGAGCAAACG